This 1544-nucleotide long non-coding RNA is filed under the name Felis catus (domestic cat). RNAcentral's name for it is "lncRNA (ENSFCAG00000040766.2)". Lineage: Eukaryota; Metazoa; Chordata; Mammalia; Carnivora; Felidae. The record is from RNAcentral.
AACAUGUCCACAGGAAUUUAGCUGGAUUUUUUUUUUUUUUUAAGCUGGAAAAUUUUUAAGCAGUUUUACUACUCCGUGCCAUGACCCAGGCCACGAGAAAUGAUCUUUGUAAAUGAUCUAGCAAAUGUCUAGUUUUGUGUGAUUCAUCUUUCUAGUAAACCAGGAAAGGCAGCAUAUAAAAUAUGUCCCUAGAUGACUUAGAACGCUUGUUGUUCAGGAUUCUUAGCUAUAACCCAGUUAUGUUUCUGCUUGGGCGCUGGAAAAGCACACAAUUUUCAGUGGUUCUCAAAGUGUGGCAAUGAAACAGCCAGCAUCAGCACCAUCUGGGAACUUGUUAGAUAUGCAAAAUCUCAGCCCUAUCCUGGAUCUACUGAAUCAGAGCUGGGGGUGGGGACUCAGCAAUUUGCAUCCUAACAACCCCUGCAGAUGAUUUGAUGUUGGCUAACGUUUGAGAAUCCCCGGUCUUGCGCUGUAACUAAAUAAUCAUCUAUUAAAGCUUCUCGCAGACUAUGAGGCCCCUGCCCCCAAAUCCCAUUGUCACAUGGAAGGAUGUUUAGUUUUCCUUCACUAUGGAGAAGUAGGAGGCACCGCAUCCGGCUUAUGAGAGUGAUAUUAUGAAGGUCUGUUACUAAACUCAAGGUUACAAUGACGGGGGAUCAGACUACAUGUACCCUUAAUUUAUCCCGGUGGAAAGUGUGGUAACUCUUGACUCGGCCUUUGAUAUUGGCUUGGCCUAAAACUGGUUUCUAUUUACAGAUUAAAGGCUGAAGGACACUCAGUGAAGCUGUACGUGAUUCUAUAAAAAUACCCUUCGUGUAUAUCAGAACAGCAGUACUCAACCAACUUUUCCUCGUGUGCUGGGCAAGGACACUGAGAGGUCGUGCAUGUGCUGAGAGGAACGGAGGAAGUGAACCUGGUUCCCCCUGCACACCCCGGAGUCAAACUGCCGCGGUCGAGAAUAAAAACGCAGAUGGUAAUGACCGUGUAUACAUGGGUGCCUCAUCAGGUGCACGCUUUAAAGACAGAUCUUGAACCAUGAUGUCGGGCAGCGUGGGAAAAAGUGGGUAACUCCCUAAAUCUAAUUGCCUUUCCGUUUAGGCUAAACGUUCAACAGUAAAUUUUUGGAACCAACAGCUUACUUUUAGUUCCAAAUUUGGCUCAUUUAGCUAAAUGUCAUAUCUAUUUCAAAAAAGAAGAAUGAACGACUGGCUAUCUUCAAACUCGCAGGAGGCUUUUAAGGUUUUCCAUUUUUAAAAACUUAUUUAGUUUUUACAAUAUGAAAAUUAUAGACAGAGUGACAUUUAAACCUUUGCUUUUCAUAGCAUUUCACACUUAGACCAUUUUAAAAGACAGCUAUUAACAUUUACAAAAAUCUUUCAGAAACCAAAUGUUCUAACAUGCAGAAUUCCAAUUAUACUGUGUAAGAGGGUUAUCAACCAUUCUUCUACAAGAAUACUUUGAAGGGUCUGGUAUUAAACCACGAGCUAAAAUGUCAGUUGCACAUAGACAAUAAAUUAGGGUUUAUAAAAUCUUGUAAGAUUUAU